UUAACUUUUUCAACUUUGCCCCAUAAUUCAAUGUUUGAGCAAUGAGGUUCUGAAUGACGGCAAAUCAGGAGCGAAAAGUGAAAUCAGUACAACGUAGACGCUGAGAUAAAACUGUAAUGGCUUUAUUAAUUAAUAAGACAGCAUGAGUGGUGGAAUCCAACCGACGAUCAAUGAAGGUCAAUUAUGGUUCGUAUCAGGAAAUUAAUGAGUGAUAUUUGAUAAAAAAAGAUAUAUACUAAA
Molecule: long non-coding RNA, 240 nt
Organism: Dendroctonus ponderosae (mountain pine beetle)
Lineage: Eukaryota; Metazoa; Arthropoda; Insecta; Coleoptera; Curculionidae
Exons: 2
Source: RefSeq, a predicted model, not a curated record